RNAcentral lists this ribosomal RNA (455 nucleotides) under uncultured organism. RNAcentral describes it as "bacterial SSU rRNA". It matches the Rfam family "Bacterial small subunit ribosomal RNA", at positions 346 to 794 of the family's 1533-position model. The record is from RNAcentral.
GUGCACCAGGCGAGAAUUUUUCUCAAUGGGGGCAACCCUGAAGGAGCGACGCCGCGUGGAGGAUGAAGGCUUUCGGGUUGUAAACUCCUGUCAUUUGAGAACAAGUGUAGCCAAGUAACUACUGGCUACUUGAUAGUAUCAGAAGAGGAAGGGACGGCUAACUCUGUGCCAGCAGCCGCGGUAAUACAGAGGUCCCAAGCGUUGUUCGGAUUCAUUGGGCGUAAAGGGUGCGUAGGUGGCGCCGUAAGUGGGGUGUGAAAUUUCGGAGCUUAACUCCGAAACUGCAUUCCAUACUGCGGUGCUUGAGGACUGGAGAGGAGACUGGAAUUCAUGGUGUAGCAGUGAAAUGUGUGGAGAUCAUGAGGAAGACCAGUGGCGAAGGCGGGUCUCUGGACAGUUCCUGACACUGAGGCACGAAGGCCAGGGGAGCGAACGGGAUUAGAUACCCGGGUAGU